GAAAAGAAAUAAAAAAAAUUAGACAACCGCAACACACGCCACUAAAGCCACCACCGCCGGCAUAACGCGGAAGCAACAGUUGGCAACAUUCACUCGCGCCUCAUUGCUUCGUCCGCUUCGUCUCCGCAACGACAGCCGCCAUCUUCUCGCGCCUAACGUUUUGUAUGGUUUUGUUCUCUGCAAUCCGCGCACACAGCUCAUCGGUGGCUGCACGUCUGCUCGGCGUCGCAAUGCGGCCUGCGUCAUUUUCUGGUGCUCGCGCAAUCGGUGUGAAACAUGUCGCAUGUGAAAUGUUUGAUAGAAGUGCCUCACGUCCAAGUCAAGCCGCCGUACGGGUGUAUGGCUGUGCGCCCCGUUCUCGGAAGCGUCGACGGGUUUCCGGCAUGCGGAUUUCAGCGUUUGGACUCGACUUUUGGUGAGGAUGUCGAUCGACCUUGGGCCUGGUGACAGCACACCCGACAUCGCCAAAGUGCAGCCUAUCAGUUGAGUGCCCCCGAAUGGACCAUCAACAUCGGAAAAUGAAGCAGAGCCAGGGGGAAAAGGUUCCGGUAACACCAUGCAUUCAGUAUGGUGGCCCAGAUGUGUAUGCAAGCAACCUCCUUCAUCUGGACCAAGAACUACUCUGCAGUGUCUCGCAGACUUCCAUGCGAAGCCCUCAACAUUCUCGUCUCAGUGGAAUGGCUGCUCAUCUAUCUGCGUGUCCAUCACCAAGACGGCCAGUUGUAAAGCUCCUGUACCCGUUUAAGAAAGCUUAAUGAUUUUUUUAUUUAGUUUUCAUGGUUGGCCGUAGAAUCUUAACAUUUUUGAUGUUUCUAACAUUUUUACCUGGCACAAAGUGGUACAAUAACUUUAAACCAG
Molecule: long non-coding RNA, 858 nt
Organism: Dermacentor albipictus
Lineage: Eukaryota; Metazoa; Arthropoda; Arachnida; Ixodida; Ixodidae
Source: RefSeq, a predicted model, not a curated record